This is a long non-coding RNA of Engraulis encrasicolus (European anchovy), 502 nucleotides long. RefSeq lists it as uncharacterized. Lineage: Eukaryota; Metazoa; Chordata; Actinopteri; Clupeiformes; Engraulidae. The record is from RefSeq and is a predicted model, not a curated record. The transcript has 3 exons.
AGAACACAUCUGACAGACAAAAAGGUUUCAUCAAAGACACACAGACGGCUCCUGAAGUAAAGGACCUACACAGGACCUUCAUAUCAAGGACAUUGACUGUGUGGAUCUCGAGGUGCAGUUACCCAAAAGUUGCUACCCACGGAAUACCAGGUUUUGAGGGAUCCUGCCAGAGCAGAGAAUCAACAGAUACAUUGAAGAGGAGACUCCGACAUGACCGCCGGCAUCUUGUGUUAUUCACCCCCACCACUUGUAAUACUGAAUGCCUGAAUUGUUGUUUGCUGCUCAGACUUUGUCAACAGAUAUGGUCUUCGACAUGUUACCCUUAGGUGUGGAAACAGAUUGUGACAGUCCAGCAAAAUGAGCCAGACAGAUAGUAACACUGAAAAAGGACAACGUUGUUCCCAUGGCCUCCCACUGCAGAAGACUACAGACGCUCAGUAAAGCACAAACAGCUGUUCCUCUUGUACUUAAUAAUUUAGUCAGCUGGAUUCUAGGUGCCACU